UGCAAGUCGAACGAAGUAGCAAUACUUAGUGGCAGACGGGUGAGUAACACGUGGUCAACCUGCCCUUCAAUGGGGGAUAACUAGCCGAAAGGUUAGCUAAUACCGCAUACGAUCUCCGAGUGGCAUCACAUGGAGAUGAAAGGAGUAAUCCGUUGAAGGAGGGGACUGCGUCCCAUUAGUUAGUUGGUGGGGUAAUGGCCUACCAAGACUCCGAUGGGUAGCUGGCUCGAGAGAGCGACCAGCCACACUGGAACUGAGACACGGUCCAGACUCCUACGGAAGGCAGCAGUGAGGAAUUUUCCGCAAUGGGGGAAACCCUGACGGAGCGACGCCGCGUGUGGGAAGAAGGCCUUCGGGUCGUAAACCACUGUCGAGGGGGACGAUAUUGACGGUACCCCUGGAGGAAGCCCCGGCUAACUACGUGCCAGCAGCCGCGGUAAGACGUAGGGGGCAAGCGUUGUCCGGAAUCAUUGGGCGUAAAGCGCUC
This 487-nucleotide ribosomal RNA is filed under the name uncultured bacterium. Its description in RNAcentral is "bacterial SSU rRNA". It matches the Rfam family "Bacterial small subunit ribosomal RNA", at positions 56 to 570 of the family's 1533-position model. The record is from RNAcentral.